GAUCCUGGCUCAGGAUGAACGCUAGCUACAGGCUUAACACAUGCAAGUCGAGGGGCAGCAUGGUCUUAGCUUGCUAAGACUGAUGGCGACCGGCGCACGGGUGAGUAACACGUAUCCAACCUGCCGUCUACUCUUGGACAGCCUUCUGAAAAGGAAGAUUAAUACAAGAUGGCAUCAUGAGUCCGCAUGUUCACAUGAUUAAAGGUNUUCUGGUAGACGA
RNAcentral lists this ribosomal RNA (220 nucleotides) under uncultured bacterium. Its description in RNAcentral is "partial 16S ribosomal RNA". It matches the Rfam family "Bacterial small subunit ribosomal RNA", at positions 15 to 225 of the family's 1533-position model. The record is from RNAcentral.